AAUCAAGCGCGAGAAGGGCGUUUGGUGGAUGCCUUGGCAGUAAGAGGCGAUGAAGGACGUGAUACUCUGCGAUAAGCCGGGGGGAGCUGAGAAUGAGCUUUGAUCCCUGGAUUUCCGAAUGGGGCAACCCACCUGAAUGUUCGUUAUUAUCUGCUCUGCAGUUAAUAACGCGCAUAAACAGGUACUUAAGGACUGAAUACAUAGGUCUUUAAGAGCAAACCCGGAGAACUGAAACAUCUAAGUACCCGGAGGAAAGGAAAUCAAUGAUACUCCCCUAGUAGCGGCGAGCGAACGGGGACCAGCCGAGACCGAUGAGUGAUUGGAACAUGUUGGGAAGCAUGGCCAUAGCGGGUGACAGCCCCGUACAAUAAGCUCUGAGGUACGUAUUAAGUAGGGCGGGACACGUGAAAUCCUGUCUGAAGAUCGGGGGACCACCCUCGAAGGCUAAGUACUCCUUACUGACCGAUAGCGAACCAGUACCGUGAGGGAAAGGUGAAAAGCACCCCGACGAGGGGAGUGAAACAGUACCUGAAACCGGACGCCUACAAUCAGUCGGAGCUUGACUGGACUCUAAUGACAGAGAUUGUUAUUAGUGUCCAGUCUUGUGACGGCGUACCUUUUGUAUAAUGGGUCAUCGACUUGGUCUAUCCAGCAAGCUUAAGCCGUUAGGUGUAGGCGCAGCGAAAGCGAGUCUUAAUAGGGCGAUGAGUUGGAUGGAUCAGACCCGAAACCGAGUGAUCUAGGCAUGGCCAGGUUGAAGGUAAGGUAACACUUACUGGAGGACCGAACCCACUUCUGUUGAAAAAGAACGGGAUGAGCUGUGCCUAGGGGUGAAAGGCCAAUCAAACUCGGAGAUAGCUGGUUCUCUGCGAAAUCUAUUUAGGUAGAGCGUCAUCCGAAUACCCUCGGGGGUAGAGCACUGGAUGGGUAAUGGGGCCCCACAGGCUUACUGAUCCUAACCAAACUCCGAAUACCGAGGAGUACUAGAUGGCAGACACACUGCGGGUGCUAACGCCCGUAGUGGAGAGGGAAACAACCCUGACCUCCGGCUAAGGCCCCCAAUUCGUGGCUAAGUGGGAAAGCAGGUGGGACGACCAAAACAACCAGGAGGUUGGCUUAGAAGCAGCCAUCCUUUAAAGAUAGCGUAACAGCUCACUGGUCUAAACAAGUUGUCCUGCGGCGAAGAUGUAACGGGGCUCAAGCCACGAGCCGAAGCCGAGGAGUGCGUAUGCACUGGUAGCAGAGCGUAGUGUGACAUAGUCUCAUUCCUCCUUAGCGGGUUCGCCCGCCUUGGAGGAGAGAGGCUUUCGAUGAAGCCGGGGCGUGAGCCAUCCGGUGGAGAGAUCACUAGUGAGAAUGAUGACAUGAGUAGCGACAAAGAGUGUGAGAGACACUCUCGCCGAAAGUCCAAGGGUUCCUGCUUAAAGCUAAUCUGAGCAGGGUAAGCCGGCCCCUAAGGCGAGGCCGAAAGGCGUAGCCGAUGGGAACCAGGUUAAUAUUCCUGGGCCGGGAGGUGGUGACGGAUUGCGAAGGUUGUUCAUCCUUAUCGGAUUGGAUGGGCCGCUUAGCAGUUCCUGGAAAUAGCCCCUCCAUCAGACCGUACCCUAAACCAACACAGGUGGACUGGUAGAGCAUACCAAGGCGCUUGAGAGAACGAUGUUGAAGGAACUCGGCAAAAUGCCUCCGUAAGUUCGCGAGAAGGAGGCCCGCUUCGAAGGCAACUUCGGGGCGGGGGCACAAACUAGGGGGUGGCGACUGUUUACUAAAAACACAGGGCUCUGCGAAGUCGCAAGACGACGUAUAGGGUCUGACGCCUGCCCGGUGCCUGAAGGUUAAAAGGAGAGGUGAGAGCCUUGAAUUGAAGCCCAGGUAAACGGCGGCCGUAACUAUAACGGUCCUAAGGUAGCGAAAUUCCUUGUCGGGUAAGUUCCGACCUGCACGAAUGGCGUAACGACUUCCCCGCUGUCUCCAACAUCGACUCAGCGAAAUUGAAUUGCCUGUCAAGAUGCAGGCUUCCCGCGGUUAGACGGAAAGACCCCGUGCACCUUUACUACAGCUUCGCACUGGCAUCAGGACUGGGAUGUGCAGGAUAGUUGGUAGGCUUCGAAGCAGGGACGCCAGUCUCUGUGGAGCCAUCCUUGAGAUACCAACCUUCGCACUCUUGAUGUCUAACCGCGGUCCGUUAUCCGGAUCCGGGACCCUGCGUGGCGGGUAGUUUGACUGGGGCGGUCGCCUCCUAAAGCGUAACGGAGGCGCGCGAAGGUUGGCUCAGAGCGGUCGGAAAUCGCUCGUUGAGUGUAAUGGCAGAAGCCAGCCUGACUGCGAGACUGACAAGUCGAGCAGAGUCGAAAGACGGCCAUAGUGAUCCGGUGGUCCCGAGUGGAAGGGCCAUCGCUCAACGGAUAAAAGGUACGCCGGGGAUAACAGGCUGAUACUGCCCAAGAGUCCAUAUCGACGGCAGUGUUUGGCACCUCGAUGUCGGCUCAUCUCAUCCUGGGGCUGGAGCAGGUCCCAAGGGUACGGCUGUUCGCCGUUUAAAGAGGUACGUGAGCUGGGUUUAGAACGUCGUGAGACAGUUCGGUCCCUAUCUGCCGUGGGUGUAGGAUACUUGAGAGGAGUUGCCCCUAGUACGAGAGGACCGGGGUGAACGAUCCACUGGUGGACCUGUUGUUGCGCCAGCAGCAGUGCAGGGUAGCUAUGAUCGGACAGGAUAACCGCUGAAGGCAUCUAAGCGGGAAGCCCCCCUCAAAACAAGGUAUCCCUGAGGACCGUGGUAGACGACCACGUCGAUAGGCCGGAGAUGUAAGCGCGGCAACGCGUUCAGUUGACCGGUACUAAUUGUCCGAUAGGCUUGAUUUG
RNAcentral lists this ribosomal RNA (2859 nucleotides) under Roseovarius indicus. RNAcentral's name for it is "bacterial LSU rRNA". It matches the Rfam family "Bacterial large subunit ribosomal RNA". Lineage: Bacteria; Pseudomonadati; Pseudomonadota; Alphaproteobacteria; Rhodobacterales; Roseobacteraceae. The record is from RNAcentral.